Long non-coding RNA from Nothoprocta perdicaria, 434 nucleotides. RefSeq lists it as uncharacterized. The transcript is spliced from 2 exons. Lineage: Eukaryota; Metazoa; Chordata; Aves; Tinamiformes; Tinamidae. The record is from RefSeq and is a predicted model, not a curated record.
AGAAAAUUCCAGGACAUGACAAUCCUCACGAGCUGAGCUUCACAUAUGUUGUUCUCCACAAGAACUGCAAAAUCUUGAAAUACUUAAGAUUUCAGGACUGUAUUUGGAACUUCUUACUCAAGCAAAGGAAAAUUCUAGCUAUGCAAAAAGAACAUAGCUUUACCUCAUGAAUUGAAUGCCAAUGGUGACAUCUGUGUAGAAGACCGUGGAAGAGCCUUAACCUGGAAAAGAAUCAUCUGGCAUUGAAGGCUUCACCUAAUUUGCAAAGCUGAAGUAAAGACUGAAUAUCCUCUAAGACUGAAGAUUUUGAUUCAUUUUUGAUUUGAGAKUACGUCCUCAACCACCUCAUUCAGCAUAACUAUGGAAUUCUGGUCAAUCGGGUGAAAUUCCUUGUGCUUUGGCUUUCAUACAUGAAAAGAAGGGAAGAGGUUGUU